RNAcentral lists this transfer RNA (114 nucleotides) under Neurospora crassa. RNAcentral's name for it is "tRNA predict as a tRNA- Leu : anticodon caa". The record is from RNAcentral. Lineage: Eukaryota; Fungi; Ascomycota; Sordariomycetes; Sordariales; Sordariaceae.
UAGCACAAGGAAGAUUCCACCCCCCAGUGCAAGCCUAAUGCCUGCAGCUGGUUGGACUUUAAGUUUUUGGAACUUUUGGAUAAACGACCCAAGGCACACUUGGGCCACCGUACU